AGAAAACAAUAAACUAGAAAACUAAAUUUAGUAAAUAUAACACAAGUUAAUAAUUUAGUUGCGUGUGAAAAAUUCAGUGCUUGAGAAAACUAAAAAAAUCAGAUGUAGAAUUUUCUGACAAGUGGUGUUCGGAAAAAUUGAAAAACCCAUACAUGCGUCCUUAGUCCAUGCCGGGCACUUACAGAAAACGCAUAUAUAUGUCCUUAGUCCACACCGAUAGCUUUCGCCAGACACCUAUAUGCGCCCACAGCACUCAAAGGGUUAACAGACGUACCAGAAAGUAUGCUACCUAUGAGUUAGCCCUACAUUUACAACAUGACAUGACAAGCACAGCAACAUUGACUUCGUAAUUCACACACACGACACCUGGGCGCUAGAGUUUGGCGCAUCAUUUUCACACUUUGAUAUACGUAUCAUUUUGGCGAAACCGACUGACAAAAGCCAGUAGCCGUUGCGUAAAACACGCAACGUGAUAAAUAUUGUAUAUUAUGCAAUUUGUUGCGAUCAACGAAUUAUAUAUUGAAAUAAUAAAUGAAUUGAAGUAAUAUUUUAACAUAAUCUUAUAUUAAAAACUACAGCAGACCUACGAGAAGAUAUAAGAUUU
This 604-nucleotide unclassified non-coding RNA is filed under the name Bombus terrestris (buff-tailed bumblebee). RNAcentral describes it as "misc RNA ENSBTSG00005029213.1". Lineage: Eukaryota; Metazoa; Arthropoda; Insecta; Hymenoptera; Apidae. The record is from RNAcentral.